ACAUGUGCGCAUGCUGUGCCAGCAGACAGUUCCAGCUCUCAACAACUGAUGCACAGACAGCUGCUGUUUCUCCCUUCCCCUGCUCCCCUAACUAUUCUCCUUCUUUCGUUUCUUCCCUACACUGCCUCCAUUCAUCCCCUCUGUACUUUCCCCUUCCUUCUCUCCACUCUGUCAUUCUGCCCUGCACUUUUCCUCAGGCGGAUAUAAAGGCAGGUCCCGUUGGAGGGAGAGGGCUUGUGUAAUCUCUGGCUGCACAUGAGCACCAGGGAGUUAUUGCUUCAGCCGGAAAGGCACCACGGACGCGUGAAAGGACAAACUUUGGAAUAAGCAGAGGAAGGAGGAAUACCUCUGAGACAGGAAGGGAGGAGACGCAGAAAGAGUUUGGAGCUGGGGUGCAGGACACAGACCAUGCCGGGCUCUGUGGUGCUGCUGCUGCUGCUGUCCCUGUUGGUCCUGUCCACAGGAAGUGAUGCCAGAAGAAUCAGGAAAAGAGGACUCAACCAAAAGGACUACGAGUACCCCAACCAUGCCCAGUCCACACAGCACCAGAAGAACGACCGGUGUCCACCGCCACCCCAGAUGCUGCCAGAGAGAGCCUGUGAGGUGCCAGGCUGUCGCUCGGACUCAGAGUGUGAGCGCCACAAACGCUGCUGCUACAAUGGAUGCAUCUACGCCUGCCUGGAGUCUGUCCAGCCACCACCAGUGUUGGACUGGCUGGUGCAGCCUAAGCCUCGGUGGUUGGGGGGCAACGGCUGGCUGUUAGACGGCCCUGAGGAGGUUCUGCAGGCUGAGGCCUGCAGCACAACUGAGGAUGGAGACGAGCCUCUUCACUGUCCUACAGGCUACGAGUGCCACAUCAUCAACCAAGGAAACCCUGCUGCUGGCAUCCCCAACCGGGGACAGUGCAUCAAGCAACGUGGCAACUCCGAUGGACGUGGUCUGAGGCACAAAUACUUCAAGGACUACAAGGACUACUUAGGUAAGUGAGGUACCAGUUCCAGCAAUGCAGUGGGCUACGAAAAACAUCAUCAAAAGCACCUGGGAUGAGAUCAACCUGACCUCAGCCUCAGCUACGACCAUAACAUAACCUCAAACAUCAGCCCAUUCGAUCUGCUCUCAUCACAACUGAACCAGGAUCAGACCAUUUUUACCAGACCUACAGUUGCUACCUCCUCUUUGCAAAGCCCCAUAUUGCAGCCUGUCCUCAGACACGUAGUCUGACGUACCCACAGCACGCAGCCAAAGAAAUAAGUGGGGUUUUUUGUCUCUCCGUCUGGUGUCUGUGAAAGAAUGGAGCAGAGGGUGUGCACCAAAGCUUUUCAUCAAACGUCUCAUAUUUUUUUUCUUUCAUUUCUUUACAACCCUCGCCCGCCCUGAAACAGAUUUUUAUUCUCACAAACACUCCCUCUAACCUUACAGCUGGUCAGCAGUGGAAAUCAAAACCAUGUGGUCGUGUUGCUCAUUCUGUCUCUCUUGUUCUCAGAAGUACGGUGCUCAAAUUUCCUGAUCUGAUAUCUGGAACGUUUUAUAGACAAAUAGGAAAAAAAGUCCAGCUGCAGUGGUUCUCAUCUUUAAAUCCAAUCCAAAUGGGGUUUAAUAUUCAAACUAAUAACUCUAACUAAAAGAAUAAAUGCCAUAUGAGUGUGUGGAUUGUGUCUGUUUUAAGAAUCUGGAACAGCUGUAGAUUAGUUCCUGCCAACAGAUGCUGGCAGUGACUUCAUUGCUAUGAAAAUCAAAAGCAAAAUAAAGGUUCAUUUGAGAGAGAUGAAGAUUUAAAGAGAUGCUCCACCUGUGACAAUAUACAAAAUGUUAUACUGAAAAGACUGACAUGGGGUGGAUGAUCCCUUCAAAUUUUAACGUUGUAUAUAUCUGUGAUAAAUUUCCUUAAAUAAAUGUAGUGAAACAAGUCAUAAAGUUGUUCAAACAUUUCAAUAAUUUUCAAUUAUCAUACUGCAUAAUUUAAAAAAAAUAAUGGUCUUUCUAUUAGACUCCACACCAUCACAUUACAUUCCCCUGUUGCAGGGCAGAUAUGUUAAUAAAAAGGGCUUUAGCACAUAGAAGAUAUUUAAAACUCAAACUGCUUCGGUCAAAUGUAGGUCGUCGCUGUUAUCAAUCCAAAUGGUGCUCAGUUUCAUCGCUGCCUAUAAUAAUAAUAACAGGAGAAUAAGCUGGUCACAUAAUAAGCUGAAGGUGUCAAACAAAACGCUGUAACCAUUCUCUAUGUGCAGAGCUAAAGUGAUGUCUGAAUGUUGCUAUCUGACUGGUGCUGUAAUGUUUAAUCUAAAUAAACCACAUUGUUGAAGUCA
Molecule: RNA transcript, 2306 nt
Organism: Sebastes umbrosus (honeycomb rockfish)
Lineage: Eukaryota; Metazoa; Chordata; Actinopteri; Perciformes; Sebastidae
Gene: wfdc1
Gene name: WAP four-disulfide core domain 1
Exons: 7
Source: RefSeq, a predicted model, not a curated record